Long non-coding RNA from Bombina bombina (fire-bellied toad), 714 nucleotides. RefSeq lists it as uncharacterized. Lineage: Eukaryota; Metazoa; Chordata; Amphibia; Anura; Bombinatoridae. The record is from RefSeq and is a predicted model, not a curated record. The transcript has 2 exons.
ACAGCUGGAAACAAGUUGGUAUAAUGAAUCAGAAGCAGAUGUAUGGCCCAAUGAUAAUGCAGCAUAGGCGGGACAAGGCAAACUCAGCUGAACCCAAUGACUUGACAAAUCCGUCCUCAUGCAAGAUGACUUAACACAUUCUUCUGGGGCAGGAGACGGGUGAUGCAGACGGGACUGUGUAAGGCAGCCAGACACGCACUUGUUUCCAGGCGCUUGCCAUGGAAACAUUAGCUUGAGAUGUUCGAGUGAGGCCUCCUUACAGGGUGAUUCCUUCUGGCCUGCUUACCUUGGGCAAGCAUUCCCCCACACUGUAACUGUCUGCUAAAGGAAUGAUUGCAUAAUGGAGGAAUGAGAAACAUUUCCUCUUCCUGCUGUCAGCAAGAAAGAAUUCCACCCACUUUCUAGUGCCCCAGAAGCAGAGGGGAGGGAAGGGUCCGAUGAAACAUAGACACACAGAAAAAAAAGACAGACUACUAAUGAAAAAGAGUGUUCUCUACAUGGUGCUUGACAAGUGCACUCUAAUUUUUCUCCUGGAAUUAUCUAUUAUUUUCCAUCUGUUAUUUAAUAUUUCUAAUAAAGUGAUACAGUUAAAAAGGGAAAAGAAAAGGUGUGAGCCCUUAGACCUACCAACUUUGACAACUAUUUUAUAGUGUGCAUUCAUUUGCAUAACUGGGGAUGUCACAGAAAUAAAUAUGUUCUUUCAUUAACAUUCAA